Zonotrichia albicollis (white-throated sparrow) is the source of this 6813-nucleotide non-coding RNA. NCBI's taxonomy places the organism in Eukaryota, Metazoa, Chordata, Aves, Passeriformes, Passerellidae. The record is from RefSeq and is a predicted model, not a curated record.
AGAGGAAAUUAAACCCAAAUUCAUUCUCAAGGGCGUUGAAAGCUGCCGCUCGCGUAGCAACUCUCCCCAAACAAUGACGAGAGAGCUGGAGGGGAGCCAGGGCUCGGCAAGACCGGCAGGAGCGGCUACCGAGACCUUUCCUGUUCGUUGUGCAUUGAAAGGCUGAGGGGGAAACUAAAACAAACCACCAUUCCCACAGCUUCUGGGAGGAAGGCGCUCCGAGCCCGGGUCUGUGCAAGAGGCAGAGAGGGCUGAGUGAGGAUGGGACACCCAGCUCUGAAGCCUGUGAUGCCACGUGUGCAGGUAUUUGCUCAGAUUCCUGAUAGAUAACUGCACAGCAAACCCAUGCAUGCCUUCAGCUACUUCUAGUGUAUUUUAAGAAACACAUGAAACUCUUGUGCGGGAUGACUCAUAGAAUAGCAGUCCCAUUAAUGCAUUUAAACAUAAAACUCAUAUGCCAUAAAGGGAUAUCCCAGGGCCUGCAUUUCUUUCUUUCUUUUUUUUUUUUUUCCCCAGAAAUAAAAUUCCAUUAAUGCCUGCAGAUUGUUUUUGAGUGAUUCACCACAACUCUCAAAGCACGCUAUUUUAUUUGGUUCCUCUUUAUAGGUAAAAGACAUGCAAGUAUCUAUCAGACCUUUUGUUUUACUUUCCCUUCCUGGAAGUUUAAUGAUUGGAAUGCUGCUGCUGGGUGAAUUUAGCUGGUAGGAUGCCACAUGUGUGGGCUGCUUCCUCCAUCUGAGACAGCAGAAGGUGCAGGGUGGGGGGGAAGGGUAUCAGUACCUUUGGGGACAGGGAAAGGGUGCAGACAAAAAAAUGGGUGCACACAAAACAGCAAUGGACCUGCAUAAAGUUCUCAUGGGCAUUAGUAGUGUGUGCCGGUGUCCCCUGUAGCUCUUUCAGAACUGAGAUGCAGUGUGAGCAGGAAUGAAGGUGUCAAGUGUUCCCACCCUCCCAAAGAUCCGUCCAUCUCAGCUCCUGUGUCAGAUCACUGUCCCUGCUGAGGAGAGGCUGUACCAAGGAUCUGCUGCAUACAUUGUUGGAAGUUGGGUCCUUCACCUGCCCAGCCUCCCAUCCAUCUAGAACCUCGAGGUCCACACCAUGGGGACACAGUGGCACCUGAGCACAGGGCUUGGCUCGAGCUACUGGCAGCCAAAUGGGAGAUGGUACCCACUGCUCCUGAGGAAGGGAAAAAAGCACCUCUUGUCAUCCUGGCUCCCCCAAACCCACCUGGCAUGUGAGGAGAGCAGAGUACACACAGCAUUGUACCUCACAGUCCUGCCACAUUCUCCUGGUGCCUGGGCAGCCUUUCCUCACAGGGAUUCCAGCAAUUUCAUGCUCUGUAUGUCCGUCCCUGCUAACUGGAGCCCUAAAACUGGGUGAGCAGUUCCCAAAGGCCAGGAAAAGAUAACUCCUGGGGCAUUCAUCCCAGAAGCACUGGUGGGUGCCCUCUUCUAGCUGACUGUAUAUGCUGAACUACAGUUGACUGUCUACAUGUGACUGAGACAAACCAAAGCUUAAAUCUCCCAGGUCUAUGAAAAAUGAGUGAAGUUCUUGACAGAAGGAAACCUUUGUUUCUUCUUUAAAAUGCCUGGCAUGCUUUCAGUACUCAAAGCCUUAAUGCCGUGGCUUAACAUAUAGUAGCAAUUAUUACUCAAGUUAGUAUUAUGUUUUGGGUACAGAAUAUAGGAAAAGGUCCACAUCCAGAUUCCCCUCAAUCCUCACCAAAUUCAUUUCAAGAUGCAGAGCAGAGAAGGGAUUCCCACUUUGAUUUUCUGGUUUUUCUAAUUUUGGCUAAUCCCCAAAAUGCAAAAAUUAAGAAUUAAAAAAAAAAAAAAGGGAUGCCAAGGAUGUUGUCUGAUGACCUACAUGGCACGUUCUUCAUGUUCUUUUGGUCUUUUUCAAAGGGCUGAAACUUGUCCUCCUUGCCCAUCUCUGCCAGUGCUUGCAUGCAGCCCUGGUGUGGUUAGGAACCAGUGCUGAGAACAGGAGGAAUUCCAGGAAGAGAUUUGUGAAAAACUGUUGCAACAUUUCAGUAUUAUAAGAUUUUUGCAGAAAAUGGAGCUACCACAUUUGACACAGCAGCCUUGUGUUUGUUUUCAUCACACCGCUGGCUUUUAAGCAUGCAGGCUUAUCUCCUGCACUAGUCUCCUCCAGAAAUCGAAACCUGUCUUUUGGGGUCUUCUUUCUAUUCCCUACAUAAGCCUUCAUCAUUCCAUCUCCCCCUUCCCCAAAAAAGACUUUUCAGGCUCUGCCUGCUUAGCAUGUGUGAUGAAUUCUGUCAUGGCAAUCCUCAGUUGUGCCUGUGGUGAAUUUGAGCCUGAAUGGCUUUACAGCCCUUCAAAAUGAACCAGGGCAAUGUUACACAUCUCCAGCGGACAGCACUGAAAAUCAUUGGGGAGCACAGAUCAGUGCACAAUUACAGACCUAAUGCUGGGAUAAAACAUUGACUCUGUGGAUGAGUCCUGCUAUCCAAGUGCCAGAAAAAAUAAACUGCUGUGAGCCAGCAGAAUACAAGGAACCAGCACUCAGGUGUUCCAAAGGGACUUGGUACCUGUGAGGUGGGCAGGGAUGACCUUUGGAAGCAGAGUUCAGGAGGCAUCAUGCCUGGCAAAGGAUAACAGUGUGCAAGUGUUGGCACCUUCCCAACACUCGCAAAGUCUGAGGAGCUCUCAGUCAAAGGACAUUGCAGAAUCGUUACAAAAAGUAGAUCCUGCCUUGGAAAAGGCCAGUCAAAGCAAGCAGGACUGCUAGCUGUCUCCUCACUUCUGGAGUCCCAGCUGCUAGGCAAGGAUCUGGGACUGCAGCAGAAAAAAGAGCCUGUGGGAUGUGUAUCACAAAAUGGGCGCAUCCUAGCAGAGGGAAAGGUCUUACAUAGCACAGAUUUGCCAGGAAUCUGGCAAGGUGAAUAUUGCUCUUCAUAUAUUUUUUCUCUUUUUUUAAACAGACAAGCAGCUUAGUGCAUCUGUGAGAUGAAGACUGAAGAAUCCAGAAUUCCUGGUGCUCAGGCAUUGAUCCUCCCAUUUCUCUUAUUUUAUUUAAGGGAAUUUUUGUUACAUGGUUUUCAAGCAUCUACCUGCCUUGCCCUCAGCCAGUGCUUACACUCACCUGAGCAGCUGCUUUUCCUUAGAUGCUCACAAAAUUAUCACUGUUGCUCCAGUUCUCUGACCCUUUAUAACUAGAGCAGCCAGAGGCAAUGAGAAUUGUGUAACCAUCUCCCCACUUCCCAAGUGCUUGGGACAGGUCUGGUAACUUUGACAGUAUGUCUCAUGGGACACACUGAAUAAAUCUCUAUUAGAUUAGGGCACUUAUAAAUAAACUGGCUGCUUGCCACAGAAAAAAAUGAAAAGUUCUUUACUUUAGUUCCCGGAUGAGAAAGGCAAGGAACACAAAUAUUUUGGCUAAUAUUAAACUAUUGGUAAACGAUGAAAAAUCAGUAUCUUUAUUUAAAAAGUUAUCUCAAGCCAUGUAAUGAAAAUUAAACUACUGCCAGAUUGAAAGCCAACAAUAUAAAACCAGCAUGUCAUCUACAAUCUAAUGGUGUACAGAAUUACCCUGCACAGAUGGGGCUCAAAGAGUAGUCGUAUGGCCAGGUGAUAAAGAACUAAAAGUGAUGUUUUUUAUAGCAAAGCAGCAUCUGUGAUAACCCACAGCCAUCCUCAGACACUGUGGAACUUGGCGGCAGAUUCACCGCUGAGAUAUAAAACACAUGACGAGCACGUAGUGACAUCAAAAGCAGUGCAGUGUAAUGGUGCUCAGAUGUCUCCCCUCAAGCCCACACAAAAGCUGCUCUCAGGGCUGCUGUAGCUCAGAACUCUCAAUGAUUCCCUUUUGAUAAGCCUGUUUUUAACAAAUCCAAGGAGUCUUAUGAGCAGCACCUCCUGACUUUGUUCCUUCACUAACUGGAGAGCAUGAAGGCUUCUUCUGUUGCCUGGAAGACGUGUGAAGGUUCAGGUUUUAGACCUCAAAUCCUGUUUUUACUUCAGAAGUGGAUUGCACAAGCGGACAGUGAAUGAGUGUCUCCGUUUCCCUUGCGGUCAGAGAAGAUCCUAUUCAUACUGAGUUUACAAGCAAACACUUCCUUUGGUAAGCUUCCCAUGCAAUUCAAUUCAUGUGCGUGCUUUCAGACUCUGUCUUUGGGUCUGGACUAACAUCAGAACAAGCAAGAGAGGCAGGCUCUCUUCUCAGCCCACCACAGCCUUUUCUGCAGUGCUUUGAAAUGAUGAAACACACAGUGUUUUCUGCACACUGCUGCAGUCCUGUCAAGUCACUGUGAUUAUUCAUGCAUCAAGAGGCUAAGCACAUACAUGGGUAUCUACUGGAUGAUGUACACCCAUUCCAGAAUUUUACUUGCUUAACAAUCAAUCUAAUGUUUUUGCUCUUUAUAGUUACUGGCUGGAAGCCUAGAAUCUGCUGGCACCUACACACAGGAUUCUCCUCUGAGCAUUCUGUGACCACGUCAGGUGUUUGAAAUAUUAUGUAUUAACAAUAAGUACUUUAUGACCAGCAAAUAAAUUAUUAUUUAUGGAAGACUUGGAAUUUGCCAUCAGUACCUGCAGUGAGGAGCUAUCAGCUUAAGGCUUUGGCUGUAGUAACAGAAAGGAAGACCUGUCCUUGGGAUAUUCUUACAUUUUCCAUUCCAGGAAGCCUUUUUCUAAGUGCAUCUUCUUCACUGUAUAAUAAAACACUAUCCAUUAGGCAAAUGUUUAGUUAACAGACACAGCAGGAUCCAUACAUGAAGAUUUUUAGGGAAGGUGAGGAUUAAGAUUCACUCGAAAUGGCAGUGAAACUUAAUAAAGUUGCACAGUGAAUUCUAAGCUAGUUCUGGCCACAAUACUGGAGCUAUUCUUGAGAAAAAUGUCAUGAGGUACUUGUGACCACAGGUAGGUAAGACCUUUGUCAUCAGCCACUCAUGAGGAAACAUGAGUAUCCAAGAGGACAUUGUCUAAAAUAAGGCAGUGUGUUGGCCUUGGCUGUUGAGUCAUCAGUAUCACUUCCUGCAGCCCCUGCUUUUGCUCCGGGUAUUUCUCAAGGGAGCACUGACUUAGUCUUUUUGAUUCUUCUGGAAUGAAUAAGAUCACAGCUCCAGAGCAGUAAUGAUGAAUAUGUCCUUGAUUCAGAGGUAUGUGCACUCAUUUUAGCACAAAUGUGCUAAAUCUUCCAUGAGAUGCCUGCCUGAUUAGUUUUUAUCUUUAUUCAUCAUGGCUUCACUGAUUUGAAAACUUCAGACUCUCUAGUUGUAAAAUGGAGAAUUCACAGGAAGAAUCUGUACAAGUGAGAGAGCAAGCUUAAGUGAGCAAGUGUUAAUGGCUUGUGCCUCAGGGUACCACUGAAAGCUGUUGUAUGUGGAUCUCUCUUGCCCUUAAUUCACUAUUUGCCUAGACAUUUCUUUAAACCUUCAAAAUACUACGUGGAACUUCUCUAGCAGAGACAGAUUCUCACCAGUUUUCAGUGACAGAUCCUUCUCAGCUACCCUGAGGUUUGCUGCAUUUGUAAAGCACACCUUAUGGGAAAAAGAAAAUAAAAAACAAACACCUGACCUCUGAAUUUCUUUUUUAAAAUAUCAUUGCAAAAUUUCUGACGUCAGACAAUGAGACACAAAUUACCCUGUGAACUGUUAACAUAUGCCUGUUUACAUAUGAUAUCUUAUAGCCAAAGCAGAUUAAGAUUUGAAGGUUUAACUGCUGUUGAGUUUCCACUAUGUGAAUCAUACAGAUCAUACAGCUUAUUCAUCACAGGCACUUAUUUUUAUUCUUUAACUCUUUCAAGCUACUUCUUCCCAGAGUAGAGUUUAGGGGAAAUGUGGGACAUGUGGGAACAGAGAGAUCACACCUGAACUUUGCAAAUGAAGGAGCCAAGAGCUGCCAUUAACUGCAGCCACCCCAGUGAAUCAGUAGUGGUUUGUAUCUUGCACCAGGUGAGCUGACAGGCACAGAAGCCUUCCCCAGCUGCCACGGUCACUCUGUCCAUCUACCUAGUUAAGAGAAGAGCCAGCUGCAAUGGAUGCUGAUGGCCAACCCUGGAAUCUUUCCAUUUAAGGAGGAAAAUUACUUGUAAGAAGCAACAGAAGAGAACCGGCCAUGACAAAAUCAGCAGGAUGGCUCAAGUUCCAAGUUCAAAGAAAAAAAAAUACCAUUCAUCACUCUAGGAUUCCUUGGGUGCUAUGAUAUAGUUUAAAUUCAGAAAUGCCAAACAUUUUGGUGAAAACUCCAUUGAUUUCAGUAAACACAGGCAGUUCAUUCUAGCACUUGAAUCUAUUUGGUGCAUCACUGAUUCCAAUGGAACUCAAGUACUCUCACCAGCAACGCUGGCACAAGUGAACAAGUAUCUGUCUUUUCCUGGAUAACAUGGUCAUAUUUUAAAAGAGGCAUCUCUGCUGAUAAAAGAAAGAAACCUACCUCCAUUUAAAUACACAUGCCUAUUCACCUCAGAUGUGAUUGUUAUUAAAGCUGGGCAGGCCAGUGCUGCCAUCUCUUUCAGGUGAAACCAAGAAGGAUUUCAGAACUUCACUUGCUGUUCAGCUUCUCUGAUUCACUGACACUGCCUGUCUCAGGCUAGCAAAGGAGAGAAGGAAGAUGAUGUAGUUUGAAGCAGGAAUAUGAACAUCCAAAAAUACCUUUCCUCUUGGAGUGGCCAUAAGUGACUGUUUGACUAUUUGUUCUUUUCAUUUAAAGUAUUGCUUCAGAUUUGUUUGGUUUUUGUCUCCCAGCUGCAUCAUCUUAAGCAGGCAGUCCACCUUAUUACCUGUGGAUUAGCUAACAGAGGCUGAGUGCAGCACUGUGAUGGGUCAAGUCUCUUUUUCACGUAGGACAACAA